Molecule: ribosomal RNA, 562 nt
Filed under: uncultured bacterium
Lineage: Bacteria
Description: partial 16S ribosomal RNA
Rfam family: Bacterial small subunit ribosomal RNA
Source: RNAcentral
UGGGGAAUAUUGGACAAUGGGCGCAAGCCUGAUCCAGCCGUGCCGCGUGAGUGAUGAAGGCCCUAGGGUUGUAAAGCUCUCUCGCCAGGGACGAUAAUGACGGUACCUGGAUAAGAAGCCCCGGCUAACUUCGUGCCAGCAGCCGCGGUAAUACGAAGGGGGCUAGCGUUGUUCGGAAUCACUGGGCGUAAAGCGCACGUAGGCGGAUCUUUAAGUCAGGGGUGAAAUCCCGAGGCUCAACCUCGGAACUGCCUUUGAUACUGGAGGUCUCGAGUCCGGGAGAGGUGAGUGGAACUGCGAGUGUAGAGGUGAAAUUCGUAGAUAUUCGCAAGAACACCAGUGGCGAAGGCGGCUCACUGCUGGUACUGACGCUGAGGUGCGAAAGCGUGGGGAGCAAAACAGGNAUUAGAUACCCUGGUAGCCCACGCCGUAAACUAUGGAUGCUAGCCGUUGGGCAGCUUGCUGUUCAGUGGCGCAGCUAACGCUUUAAGCAUCCCCGCCUGGGGAGUACGGUCGCAAGAUUAAAACUUAAAGGAAUUGACGGGGUCAUAGCUGUUUCCUG